RNAcentral lists this ribosomal RNA (790 nucleotides) under uncultured Methanimicrococcus sp. RNAcentral describes it as "bacterial SSU rRNA". It matches the Rfam family "Archaeal small subunit ribosomal RNA", at positions 85 to 876 of the family's 1478-position model. Lineage: Archaea; Methanobacteriati; Methanobacteriota; Methanomicrobia; Methanosarcinales; Methanosarcinaceae. The record is from RNAcentral.
ACUGCUCAGUAACACGUGGAUAACCUGCCCUCAGGUCCGGCAUAACCUCGGGAAACUGAGGAUAAUUCCGGAUAUCUCUUCUCUGCCGGAAUCGCUUGAAGAGACAAAGAAUUUCGCCUGAGGAUGGGUCUGCGGCCUAUCAGGUCGUAGGGGGUGUAACGUACCCUCUAGCCGACAACGGGUACGGGUUGUGAGAGCAAGAGCCCGGAGAUGGAUUCUGAGACAUGAAUCCAGGCCCUACGGGGCGCAGCAGGCGCGAAAACUUUACAAUGCAGGAAACUGUGAUAAGGAGACACCGAGUGCCCGCAUCAAAUGCGGGCUGUCCGCAUACUUAAAUCGUAUGCGUUAGCAAGGGCCGGGCAAGACCGGUGCCAGCCGCCGCGGUAAUACCGGUGGCCCGAGUGGUAGCCGCUUUUAUUGGGUCUAAAGGGUCCGUAGCCUGUUCGGUCAGUCCAUUGGGAAAUCCGGAUGCUCAACAUCCGGGCUUCCAGUGGAUACUGCCUGACUUGGGAUCGGGGGAGGUAAGAGGUACUACAGGGGUAGGAGUGAAAUCUUGUAAUCCUUGUGGGACCACCUGUGGCGAAGGCGUCUUACCAAAACGAGUCCGACGGUGAGGGACGAAAGCUGGGGGCACGAACCGGAUUAGAUACCCGGGUAGUCCCAGCCGUAAACGAUGCUCGCUAGGUGUCAGGCAUGGCGUGACUGUGUCUGGUGCCGAAGGGAAGCCGUGAAGCGAGCCACCUGGGAAGUACGGCCGCAAGGCUGAAACUUAAAGGAAUUGGCGGGGGAG